This 44-nucleotide ribosomal RNA is filed under the name Caloplaca sp. RVM-2012. RNAcentral's name for it is "partial 28S ribosomal RNA". The record is from RNAcentral. Lineage: Eukaryota; Fungi; Ascomycota; Lecanoromycetes; Teloschistales; Teloschistaceae.
UUGACCUCGGAUCAGGUAGGGAUACCCCCUGAAANUAAGCAUAU